CAGCAGCCGCGGUAAUACAGAGGAUGCAAGCGUUAUCCGGAAUGAUAGGGCGUAAAGCGUCUGUAGGUGGCUUUUCAAGUCCGUCGUCAAAUCCCAGGGCUCAACCCUGGACAGGCGGUGGAAACUACCAAGCUGGAGUACGGUAGGGGCAGAGGGAAUUUCCAGUGGAGCGGUGAAAUGCGCAGAUAUCAGGAGGAACACCGGUGGCGAAGGCGGGUCUCUGGGCCAAAACUGACGCUGAGGAGCGAAAGCGUGGGGAGCAAACAGGAUUAGAGACCCCAGUAGUCCCUGUCUCUUAUAU
RNAcentral lists this ribosomal RNA (301 nucleotides) under uncultured bacterium. RNAcentral's name for it is "partial 16S ribosomal RNA". It matches the Rfam family "Bacterial small subunit ribosomal RNA", at positions 509 to 809 of the family's 1533-position model. The record is from RNAcentral.